This 132-nucleotide small RNA is filed under the name Marmota monax (woodchuck). Lineage: Eukaryota; Metazoa; Chordata; Mammalia; Rodentia; Sciuridae. The record is from RNAcentral.
GUCAGGCAUGAUGGCCCAUGCCUGUAAUCCCAGCAACUGGACUCAGGAGGCUGAGAUGGGAGGAUCACAAGUUCAAAACCAGCCUCGGCAACUUAGCAAGGCCCUAAAAAAUUCAGUGAGACCCUGUCUCUA